GAAUUCAGGAAGUAAAAGUCGUAACAAGGUAGCUGUAGGUGAACCUGCUGCUGGAUCAUUA
RNAcentral lists this non-coding RNA (61 nucleotides) under Rhodobacteraceae bacterium PD-2. Its description in RNAcentral is "Eukaryotic small subunit ribosomal RNA". It matches the Rfam family "Eukaryotic small subunit ribosomal RNA", at positions 1771 to 1831 of the family's 1831-position model. The record is from Rfam by way of RNAcentral. Lineage: Bacteria; Pseudomonadati; Pseudomonadota; Alphaproteobacteria; Rhodobacterales; Paracoccaceae.